CAUGUCUUUUGAUUUAUUAAAGUCUAACCUGCCCACUGAUUUUUAAAGGGCCGCGGUAUUUUGACCGUGCGAAGGUAGCAUAAUCAAUAGUCUUUUAAUUGAAGGCUGGUAUGAAUGGUUGAAUGAGAUAUAUACUGUUUUUUUAAAAUUUAAAUAGAACUUUAUUUUUUAGUUAAAAAGCUAAAAUUAAAUUAAAGGACGAGAAGACCCUAUAGAUCUUUAUUUUUAUAAAUUAUAAAUUAUAAAGAAUUUUAAAAUUUAUAUUUUAGAUAAAAUUUUACUGGGGUGGUAUUAAAAUUUAAUUAACUUUUAUUUAUUUUUAACAUUGAUUUAUGAAUUAAAGAUCCUGUAUUAUGGAUUAAAAAAUUAAGUUACCUUAGGGAUAACAGCGUAAUUUUUUUAGAGAGUUCAUAUCGAUAAAAAAGAUUGCGACCUCGAUGUUGGAUUAAGAGUUAUUUUUAGGUGUAGAAGUUUAAAGUUUAGGUCUGUUCGACCUUUAGAUUCUUACAUGAUCU
This 515-nucleotide ribosomal RNA is filed under the name Macrobrachium nipponense. Its description in RNAcentral is "partial 16S ribosomal RNA". It matches the Rfam family "Bacterial large subunit ribosomal RNA", at positions 1827 to 2606 of the family's 2925-position model. Lineage: Eukaryota; Metazoa; Arthropoda; Malacostraca; Decapoda; Palaemonidae. The record is from RNAcentral.